GUUGGCUAUGGGGACAUCAGUCCGACGACAGCAAUAGGUCAAGUGAUCGGGAGCCUUUGCGCCAUUUGUGGUGUGCUCGUGAUUGCUCUGCCUAUUCCCAUUAUCGGUAACAAU
Orchesella cincta is the source of this 114-nucleotide regulatory RNA element. It matches the Rfam family "Potassium channel RNA editing signal". Rfam says of the family: This family represents a group of sequences related to the human potassium channel Kv1.1 hairpin element which directs the efficient modification of an adenosine to inosine by an adenosine deaminase acting on RNA (ADAR). The ADAR modification causes an isoleucine/valine recoding event which lies in the ion-conducting pore of the potassium channel. It is thought that this editing event targets the process of fast inactivation and allows a more rapid recovery from inactivation at negative potentials. Lineage: Eukaryota; Metazoa; Arthropoda; Collembola; Entomobryomorpha; Orchesellidae. The record is from Rfam.